GAAGGUAUAGCUCAAGUGGUAGAGCACAUACUUAGCAUUCAUGAGGUCCUGGGUUCAAUCCCCGGUACCUCUU
Molecule: transfer RNA, 73 nt
Filed under: Camelus bactrianus (Bactrian camel)
Lineage: Eukaryota; Metazoa; Chordata; Mammalia; Artiodactyla; Camelidae
Also listed under: 2 other names
Rfam family: tRNA
About the family: Transfer RNA (tRNA) molecules are approximately 80 nucleotides in length. Their secondary structure includes four short double-helical elements and three loops (D, anti-codon, and T loops).
Source: Rfam by way of RNAcentral